This is a non-coding RNA of Strongylocentrotus purpuratus (purple sea urchin), 45 nucleotides long. NCBI's taxonomy places the organism in Eukaryota, Metazoa, Echinodermata, Echinoidea, Camarodonta, Strongylocentrotidae. The record is from Rfam.
CAAACGGCCCUUUUCAGGGCCACAAAUGAUCAAGAAAGAUACCAA